Non-coding RNA from Taeniopygia guttata (zebra finch), 1697 nucleotides. The record is from RefSeq and is a predicted model, not a curated record. NCBI's taxonomy places the organism in Eukaryota, Metazoa, Chordata, Aves, Passeriformes, Estrildidae.
CUCAGUGCUCCCUUUUCCCGAGUGAGAACUGAAGCACAGGGGUUAGACACAGAAUUCCCCAGAUUUCCAUCCCUGACAGCUGUAGUGGCAGAAGACAUAGAGGAUGUUAUGUAAGCAUCCUACAUGAAUCUGGGAGCAUCCCAAAGCCACUGCUAAACCAGCCACCCCAUGCACUUGCCACCCUGCCUGCAGGAGCAGGAUGCUCUUGAUGAAGCCUUUGGAGUUCAGGGUGGGAGACCCAGUGCCAAUGGAUACUAAUGGAUACCAAUGGAAACAAACACAACACAGAGGUCAGAGAGGGAAAUGUGCUGGAGGAAGCUCAGGAUGUGAAUGUGGAUCCCCUGGUUAGCACCCAGAGGGUCGCACUGUGCUGCUCAGUCCAUUCUGUACGAUCAGGCACAAGAGAAGAAACUGCUUUUCCUUUAAGAACAUUCAACUUAUCCUGCCUUUAUCAGCAAUUCCCAAUCUUAAGCCAUUCUGUUUCUUCCAGAAAAAGCAAAGAGAGAAACCUCAACAGAAAAAAGCAAAUUAAAGUCUGAAAAACAAGCAAUUCCAGAUCUUCAGUCGAUUUUAUUUCAGAUCAAAUGAAAAAAGUUGAUUAAUCCCCUUGUUCAGACUGCUAACACUACCAGAACAGACUGCAUCCGUUUCACAUCAGAGGAAGCUCAACGUACUUAAGCCAAACAUCUUCCAGGCAAAGAGAAAAAAUAAAUAUAAAACAGGAAAGAAUCAGUGCUAUAGUAUUUGCAUGUGUCUGAAGAUACAGCUUUGGAACUGCAGAGUGAAGCCAAGCUCUCCAGUAAAAUAAGUGGACAAAGCUCCAUCCUUGGAGUCCAGCACGGCUAUGCCUAUUUAAUCUAUAGGUAAACUGAAAUAUCAGUUUUGAAGAACAUCAGUGUUUCACCUCCCAGCAAGUGACCAGUGCUGUCAGUGUGUACUACAUCCAGAAGGAGCUUCACCUGAGAGCACAGUCCUCACAUCCACUCUUCACCUCUCUCCUCCUUACACCUUCCAUUGAUAAUUCCAUGUAUUCCUGUUGCCACAGCACCUUCCUCAGCUCUGAUCACCACAGGGGCAGGAUGCGGCCUCGCACAGGAUGCACUGAGACUCAUCAUUCCCAGCACAGAUGAAAUUGGGGCUCAUUUCUGUCCUUGCACACUCAUCAAAUACCAUCACGUCGAGGUAGGACACCAGGCACGCUUGAUGGUUGCAGAGUAACUCGACCUACAAAGUCCCAUCGGGGGAUGCCGAGGCCAGCACCCACACUGCUGGACACCGCCUGGAUGCAAGGUGAUGGGAAGGACCCGUCUGCAUCUCCUCCACGGGGAGCACGGUGCAUGCCAGGGACCACUGCCUGAAGGACGCUCCGGGUAGCCCGGACCAGCCCCUGCCCCAAAAGCACCGGUAACAGCCCCGGCAAGGCACAGCUGCCCCUCCAGCCGCAUCCCAGGGCGGCACAGCGGCGGCACCCCGCACGCAGCCCCGCGGGGAGGCGAUGCUCGGGGGGUCCCGCACGGGGGUCGCCGCAGCCGGAGGGGCCCGGGCAGCCGCCGCCCCGUCCCCGUCCCCGGCCGCGCCUUUGUCCGCCCAGCGGAGGAUGGGGCGCAGCCCGGUCCCGCUCCCCGCCGGUGGCCCGGUGACAUCGCCUCGCCGCGGGCCGCUCACCUGCGGGGCCGCUGUCCGCAGCCGCCUCCUCC